GGGAGGUGGAGGAAGCUCUCUCUCUAGCUGUCACUUUCCUGUGAUGGGAUAACUGGAGGCGGUAACAGCCUAACCUCCCUCCCCAGUGCCCCACCAGAAUCAAAACGCCCAAGGAGCGUGGACUCCCCAUCAUAGCUGUGGCACCCAUGCUGAGGAGGAAAGAGAUACUGACACAAGUUAUUUAAAAGAAGAAAAGCAAUUCCAUUUCCAUCGUCGGUUUUAUUUUAGAAAUAUUGUUAUAAUAUUUAUUUGUUAUUUGUGCCUUUUUAGAAUCUCUGAUUUCCUUCUAAUUAGAUAACCCCCUUCUCUUGUGAAUAACACAUUCAGUGCGGUUAAAAGAUCUUGGCUCAAAGAAUAUACAUGGGCUGUUGGGGAUGGAUGCCCAAUCCAGAGUGAACCAAUCAGGGGUUUCCUGGGACUUUGGCAAAAAUAAGAUGUGUCAGGAGAGACUUUCUAUGAGGCUUCUAGGCUGAGUCAGUAUGUGUGCCUGGAGUCUCCAAAUGCCAUCUGGCCCACCACAUGGAGAAAGCCAGCCUAAAACAUACAAGGAAAAAGCUGAUGAAACUGUUGGCACCCUUGGAUCUCUAGACAUUCUGGUUCUGUAAGCCAAUACAUUUCCCUUUUUGCUGAAGUAGGUGAGUAGGAAACAGUUGGGUUGAAAUACAGUGACCAUGGUGACCUCAUUGAGACGGUGUGACGUGGCAAAGAUACAUUGGAUGAGAAGUAAUAAGAUAGCCCUGGUGAUGACCUUUGGCUCAUGACCCUCCUUAACCUUCCUAAGUCUCAAUCUCCUUUAUCCGUGAUGUGCUAAUAUUAGAUCACAUAAACCCGAGGCCCUAUUUCAUUUUCAGUUGUUACCCCAAGCUCCAUGCUUUAACUCUGUGAACUCUUCUCUCUCACCCAGAAGUCGUAGGAAGUGGUGAUACAUACACACUGUUUAUAAGUACAUCUAGCUAAUGCCAGGCGUUUAUUUCUAGAUGAAGAUCACAUUUUUCUCUUCCAAGGACUCAUUCCACUUCUGUCCCAAGCAGCUCCCAGUGUUGUUGGACAAACACGGGGCCUGUGCAACAAUGCAUAUCUAGCUCUGAGAAAACUUAUCCCUUCCAUCUGGAGAGUCAACCUGAGUAUUAGCAUUUUAUGGAGAGAAAAUCAUGUGCAAAGGCCUCUGUGUGAGGUCUCUAACUUAAUGUCUUUAUUUUUCCUUUAUACUCCAAUAAUACCUAUUCCAGUCAAUGAUUUCUACACAAAGGCAUAGCAAAUUUCUAAUUCUUUCAAAAAGGGGAUUCAUAUCUUUUGCACUCAAACACAGGCAUGUGUAUGCCAAUCAACUGAGACUAGAAAUUCUACUCUGAAAGAUCAGCUCUAUCAUAAUCCUCCUGAAUGUUCUGUACUAUUUGUCAUUUACCUCCUGAAACAAGUCGAAAAUAUGGAGAUUGGUAUGUCUUAGGAUUUCAGUGUGUGCAAAUUAUUAAAAUUGUAAAAUUUUAGAAAAAUCUGAGAUUCAUCCUACUGACAUUCUAAUAUGUGGCAGGCUGCUGAGGAAGAAUCCCAGUUCUCUGAGUGUUCAAAAAUCAAUAUUUUUAAAAAUUUUAUAUUAUUUUUAAUUGUAUUGAAGUAUAAUUGAUUUAAAAUACUGUAUUAAUUUCUCCUAUUCAGCAAAGUAAUUCAGUGGUACAUAUACUUGUUUCUAUUCUUUUCCAUUAUGGUUUAUCACAGGAUAUUAAGUAUAGUUCCCUGGGACUUUGUCAUUUAUUCUAUAUAUAAUAGUUAAUAUCUGCUCAUCCCAAACUCCAGAACAAUCCCUCCUCCACCAGCCCUUCCCCUUGACAACCACAGGUCUGUUCUUUAUGUCUGUAAGUCUGUUUUGUAGAUAGGUUCAUUUUGUCAUAUUUUAGAUUCCACGUAUAAGUGAUAUCAUAUGGUAUUUGUCUUUCUGAUUUACUUCACUCAGUAUGACAAUCUCUAUGUCUAUCCAUGUUGCUGCAAAUGGCAUUAUUUCAUUCUUUUCUAUGGCUGAUUAGUAUUCUACUCUAUAUAUGUACCAUAUGCAUUCAUUUGUCAGUGGACACUUAGGUUGUUUCUGUGACUCGACUAUUGUUAAUAGUGCUGCAGUGAACAUUGGGGUGGGUGCAUGUGUCAUACUGAAUUAUAGUUUUGUUCAGGUAUAUGUCCAGGAGUAGGAUUGCUGGUUUUUAUGGUAGUUCUAUUUUUAGUUUUCUGAGGAACCAAUUUAUACUCCCACCAACAGGGUAGGAGAAAGUUUCCUUUUCUCCAUACCCUCUCCAGCAUUUAUUUGUAGACUUUUUAGUGAUGGCCAUUCUGAUCUAUGUGAGGUGAUAGCUUAUUGGGGUUUUGAUUUGCAUCAAAAAUGAAGAUUAAACCUCACACUAAAACCAAGAACUUACUUGAAAUUAGAAGAUGCCAUUAUUACUUAUUGGAUAUGGACAAAAUAAAACCAGUGCUAUAGAUGGGCAAGUGAGUUCUCCUACUCAGCUCCUAUUACACCUACUUGUCAUCAGUUGACUUUACUGCCAGUGUAUUUAGAUAUUAACAUGCGGAUUUCACUGAGUGUGAAUAGCUACCAUUUGUAAGCUCUGCAGAUGAUUACAUAUCCAGCUAUAUAUAACUCUUAUAAGAUCCUAGACAUACACAGAGAUAUUUAUGUGACUUGCAAGCAAUUUUUUAUUAUUAUUAGCCUAGACUUGUGCCUCCUUAGCAAUUCAUUUUCUGGGAACUUCUAGUUAAUUUGCCAUGCAAGCAGAGAGAAUUUGAAAGCCUUAUUAAUAGCCAUGUCAGAAAGUCUGACUAUCCCUAAAAGUUGCAACUUCAAACUUCCAAAAUUCUCUCCUAAAUCUGAUUGGUGAUAUACUAAGAUUAAAUAUGCUUGCACAAUUUCACACAAUUUGUCUUUUCCCAUUAAUACUUAAUAAGAGACCUUCUGUUCCUACUUAGAGCAACGAACCACAAAGUCAAAUCUAUUGUGUAUGUGAUGAGGCAGUGGAAGGAGCAUUGGGCUAGGAUGUUGCUUACCUCCAUCACUUCUUUGUUCUUGGACUAGCAGGUUGACCUCCUAACUGUUCUGGCUCUUGCAUUGCCCCUUAAUGAUUCAUUCUAAAUAAUAUUCAAUAUGCUUUUAAAAUAGACAGGUGCCCCAUAUCACUAUCCCAAUUAAAAAUCUCCAUUGGCUGCAUAGGAUUAAUAAUCAUAUCAAUAAUAUUAACAAUUGUAGGAGCCAGCACUUACUGGAUUUACUCUGUGCUGGGCACUAUGUGAUGUACUUUACAUAAUCUUUUUUUUUAAUCUUCACAAUAACUCUUUGAAAGUUUAUGGUUGUGGAAAUUGAGGCCCAAAGAGAUUGGGCUAGUAUGCGAUGGAAAUAAGACUCAAACUCACAACUCUCUCACUGAAGUCCAUACUCUCAGCCAUGAUACUAUUCUGCCCCUUUUUCCUAGUGAAACACAGACUCCUUGGCCAGGCUUUCACAAAAUGGAAAAUUUUGUUUCCAUAAACCUCUUGCUACCCUUUAAUAUACUCCCUUUUUUCCACCUCAGUUUUCUUUUUUUUUUUAAGUCAUCUUUCAUCUUUCAGUUCUUUGGUUUCCCAUUUCUCUCAAGUUUUCCACUUUUGCUCUUUCUUCUCAUCUUUAUGUAUUCUAUCUAUUCUUGGCAUCCUCAGUCAUGGGUCCUUAGCCCUGACUUCCAUAAACUCAAUAAUGCAGCCAUCAAAUAUGGGGUGAGGGAUCCGUUCCAUAAUAGAAGUAGCUGAAAAAGGUGGAAGCGACCCUAUUCUGGUACCUAAUGCAUGAAAAAAGUAUUGGUAAAGAAUCAAAGUCCUAUGACUUCAUUAUUAAAUCUCAUAUCUUCAGGGGUGAAUAAUAUUAUUCUAUCAUGUAAAUUAUAAGCUGCCUGAGCAUAAAACAAAGCCCUCUGUUUCCUUUGUAUCACUGUCCCUUAGGAAGCCCACUUAAAGUUUUAUAUUAUACCUAAGGAAUGUCUUUGCAACAUGUAUGUAUUAAGUAAUGCAAAUAUGUAUAUUUCUAUGUGUACUU
RNAcentral lists this long non-coding RNA (4048 nucleotides) under Sus scrofa (pig). Its description in RNAcentral is "lncRNA (ENSSSCG00055005603.1)". Lineage: Eukaryota; Metazoa; Chordata; Mammalia; Artiodactyla; Suidae. The record is from RNAcentral.